UCAGGUAGGAAUACCCGCUGAACUUAAGCAUAUCAAUAA
This 39-nucleotide ribosomal RNA is filed under the name Ilyonectria destructans. RNAcentral's name for it is "partial 28S ribosomal RNA". The record is from RNAcentral. Lineage: Eukaryota; Fungi; Ascomycota; Sordariomycetes; Hypocreales; Nectriaceae.